CCGAUCGGUUCCGGGUUCGAGUCCCGGGCAACCCA
This 35-nucleotide transfer RNA is filed under the name Gomphrena celosioides. Its description in RNAcentral is "trnK-TTT". RNAcentral also lists the same sequence under 24 other names. Lineage: Eukaryota; Viridiplantae; Streptophyta; Magnoliopsida; Caryophyllales; Amaranthaceae. The record is from RNAcentral.